This is a long non-coding RNA of Dermochelys coriacea (leatherback sea turtle), 402 nucleotides long. RefSeq lists it as uncharacterized. The transcript has 3 exons. The record is from RefSeq and is a predicted model, not a curated record. NCBI's taxonomy places the organism in Eukaryota, Metazoa, Chordata, Testudines, Dermochelyidae.
GGAGUAGAGUUUAAUGUGGGGGGAAAGCCCCAGCACCCACCCAUCCACCCCUUGAGAUGCAAGUUUUCUUGGGCCUCAAGCAUUUGUCAUCAGGAUGACUCAACAAAAGAGCCUUGCAUCCUCAUGAGGGGCCUUGGAAUCUACAGCCCUCUGGCAGAUGGUAAUAACCACAUUCCGGAUAAACCCUGGAGUGGGACUACUCUGGAAGGGGAGAGACUUUGAAGAGACCUGGCUGGAAGGCCAAGUCACAAGGAAGAGGUGAUCCACUGCAGAGGCAGAGCAGCCACUGGCAGCAGAUCACUGGAGAGAGAGCUGCUAUGCCAUACCCAUCCAGAAAGAGCCACCAACAGUGAGUUAACCCCUUCAUAACUCCUAUCAGUAGGAAGCUGCUGAUCCCAUUAU